Molecule: ribosomal RNA, 580 nt
Filed under: Clostridioides difficile
Lineage: Bacteria; Bacillati; Bacillota; Clostridia; Peptostreptococcales; Peptostreptococcaceae
Description: partial 23S ribosomal RNA
Rfam family: Bacterial large subunit ribosomal RNA
Source: RNAcentral
CAGUUUUGGCGGAGCCAUCCUUGGGAUACCACCCUUGUAGUACUGGGACUCUAACCAUAGGCCAUGAAUCUGGUCUUGGGACACUGUCAGGUGGGCAGUUUGACUGGGGCGGUCGCCUCCCAAAAGGUAACGGAGGCGCUCAAAGGUUCUCUCAGUACGGUCGGAAAUCGUACGUAGAGUGUAAAGGCAAAAGAGAGCUUGAUUGCAAGACAUACAGGUCGAGCAAGGAUGAAAAUCGGACUUAGUGAUCCGGUGGUUCUGCGUGGAAGGGCCAUCGCUCAACGGAUAAAAGCUACCCUGGGGAUAACAGGCUUAUCUCCCCCAAGAGUCCACAUCGACGGGGAGGUUUGGCACCUCGAUGUCGGCUCAUCACAUCCUGGGGCUGUAGUAGGUCCCAAGGGUUGGGCUGUUCGCCCAUUAAAGUGGUACGCGAGCUGGGUUCAGAACGUCGUGGGACAGUUCGGUCCCUAUCCGUCGCAGGCGUAGGAAAUUUGAGAAGACCUGUCCUUAGUACGAGAGGACCGGGAUGGACGUACCUCUGGUGUACCAGUUGUUCUGCCAAGGGCAUGGCUGGGUAGCU